RNAcentral lists this unclassified non-coding RNA (378 nucleotides) under Hevea brasiliensis (rubber tree). The record is from RNAcentral. Lineage: Eukaryota; Viridiplantae; Streptophyta; Magnoliopsida; Malpighiales; Euphorbiaceae.
GGAAAUACUUUCACAAGAGGCUCAGACUCAAGAAUUGAUUGAAAAUAUGAGAGCAGUAGCUAAAUGUGGAAAUGGGAUCUCAUCAUCUGCUGCGUUUUCAGAUCAGUGGAGUCUCACUAGCAGUAGGAAUUGUUCCUCUAAAAAAGAUGGACUAUUAGACAUUUAGUGGAAUUAAAAAAUUUUAACAUUUCUCUGUCACUUUCUUUCUUUGUUAUGAUUAUAUUAAUUUCUAGGUAUGUUAAUUAUUAAUACUAGAUACAAUAUUGACACAAGAUUUAUCAACUUUAUGUUAUGUAGUCAUGAUCUGCUAUCUAUGAGUUUAAUUAUCUGUUUUUCUUUUUCUUCUUUUGAUGAAGUUCCAUUUCUAUGAUCUCAAAA